Molecule: transfer-messenger RNA, 256 nt
Filed under: Polynucleobacter sp. 17-46-58
Lineage: Bacteria; Pseudomonadati; Pseudomonadota; Betaproteobacteria; Burkholderiales; Burkholderiaceae
Rfam family: transfer-messenger RNA
About the family: Bacterial tmRNA, also known as 10Sa RNA or SsrA, is named for its dual tRNA and mRNA-like properties. Its role is to liberate the mRNA from a stalled ribosome.
Source: RNAcentral
GGGGUCGACAUGGUUUCGACGUGGAUUACAAAGCAUCAAGGGCAUACCGAGGACCCGUUAUCUCGUAAAUCAAUGGGAAUGUUACAAGAGAUAAGACUAUCUCGCGUCACGAGGGGUAGUACGAAAAUUUAGUGAAUCGCUUGCGUGGAACAUGUCAAUCUGUGACUAGCAGGCUAAAUUAAAUGAUAUGACUAAGUAUGUAGAACUUGCUGUAGAGGAUUUGCGGACGCGGGUUCGAUUCCCGCCGACUCCACCA